GGGUGGGCACUGUGUGUAGCAUUUAGCCUCUCCCUCUAUCCCCCUCUUGCUGUCACUGAUAUAGAUCUAUUUCAUAGGAAUUCCCUCUCCUAUAAUUCCAGCUGUUAGAGACAGAUCGUUACUGUUAUUCACAGGAUACAAAGUUACUACACCCUCCCAGGAUGUCAUGCUACUAAGCAGUUUCUGUACCAAUUCUUGUUUCAAUGUGAAGAACACGGACAUUCAUUUGGUAAAGACUACCACAGCAAAGCCCACUCCAUGUCUGUAUCAAUAUACAUUGCAG
Pelobates cultripes (western spadefoot toad) is the source of this 283-nucleotide non-coding RNA. NCBI's taxonomy places the organism in Eukaryota, Metazoa, Chordata, Amphibia, Anura, Pelobatidae. The record is from the annotation of a GenBank genome assembly.